This 311-nucleotide long non-coding RNA is filed under the name Homo sapiens (human). Its description in RNAcentral is "HSALNT0348566". The record is from RNAcentral. Lineage: Eukaryota; Metazoa; Chordata; Mammalia; Primates; Hominidae.
GGCCGCUUGCGCAGGCGCAGUUCUGACGACUGCCGUUCAGCACCUGCGUAAGCACCUCUCGGCCAGGUCAGUCCUGUAUACAGCACUAAAGCUGAUGAAUGAUCUAUCUUACACUAGCCAAAGUGAAGUCUGAAAGAUGUGAAGAAAUGCAGUACAUUUGUACAUUGGCACAUUGCCCUGCAGAGGACUGGCAACACUCCAGAAAUGAUGGAGACAGGAUACAUCAACCUGUAUCACUGAAGAUGAUGUGGAGCAGAGCCUUUGUGGUCCUAAGAAACAUGUAUAAGAUAAAAACUUUUGUGGUUUUUCAA